UAGGCGAUAGAAAAGUUACUUGACGCAAUAGAAAAUUCGUACCGUGAGGGAAAGUUGAAAUAGCAAUGAAAAACCAAGCAUAAAACAGCAAAGACUAACUCUUGUACCUUUUGCAUCAUGAUUUAGCAAGAAUAACCAAGCAUAAUGAACUUUAGCUUGCCAUCCCGAAACCUAUGCGAGCUACCUACAAGCAGCUAUCAUGAGCAAACCCGUCUCUGUGGCAAAAGAGUGGGAUGACUUGUUAGUAGAGGUGAAAAGCCAAUCGAGCUAGGUGAUAGCUGGUUGCCUGCGAAACGAAUGUAAGUUCACCCCUAAAUUUUUCCCCUCCAGAUAUCCUAAAUUACUACAAUGAGAUAUUUAGGAGCAAUUUAAAGGAGGUACAGCUCCUUUAAAUCAGGACACAACCUAAACCAGAGGAUAAUGCAAACUACUCCUUUUACAUGUAGGCCUUCAAGCAGCCAUCAAUCAAGAGUGCGUUAAAGCUCUUAUCUACAAAAAUACCAAAAACACCAUGAAUCCCUCACCACUAGCAGACCAACCUAUGACCAUAGGAGAAUUCAUGCUAAAAUGAGUAAUUUGAAAAGCACCCCUUCUCUAGGCGCAAACUUACAUACUAGACUAUUAUUAACAGUACGACUUAUACCACUACUCCACAAGACCAAAUAUUUAACCAACCUGUUACCCCCACCCUGGAGCGCCCCCUAGAAAGAUUUAAAUCUGCAAAAGGAACUCGGCAAGCCCAAGGCCCGACUGUUUACCAAAAACAUAGCCUUCAGCUCACACAAGUAUUGAAGGUGAUGCCUGCCCAGUGACUAAAGUUUAACGGCCGCGGUAUCCUAACCGUGCGAAGGUAGCGCAAUCAAUUGUCUCAUAAAUCGAGACCAAUCAGUCCCAAAGCCGCCAAUUAUUACUGGUAUAACUAUGAAGAAAAUUAUAACGAAGGCAUGGGCUGUUACGAUAACGUUGUAAAUUUGGUCAUCGCCUAGU
RNAcentral lists this non-coding RNA (987 nucleotides) under Tinamus guttatus (white-throated tinamou). Its description in RNAcentral is "Bacterial large subunit ribosomal RNA". It matches the Rfam family "Bacterial large subunit ribosomal RNA", at positions 462 to 2044 of the family's 2925-position model. The record is from Rfam by way of RNAcentral. Lineage: Eukaryota; Metazoa; Chordata; Aves; Tinamiformes; Tinamidae.